CAAUAGCGUAUAUUAAAGUUGUUGCGGUUAAAAGCUCGUAGUUGGAUUUCUGUCGAAAACAGCCGGUCCGCUCUAUGAGCGUGUAUCUGGUUUGGUUUUGGCAUCCUCGAGGGGUACUGCGCUGUGCUUGAUUGCAUGGCCAGGAAUUCUCGACUUUUACUUUGAGGAAAUUAGAGUGUUCACGGCAGGCAAGCGCCUUGAAUACAUUAGCAUGGAAUAAUAAUAUAGGACUUUGGUUUUAUUUUGUUGGUUUCUAGGGCCGAAGUAAUGAUUAAGAGGGACAAUUGGGGGCAUCCGUAUUUCGUUGUCAGAGGUGAAAUUCUUGGAUUUACGAAAGACGAACAACUGCGAAAGCACUUGCCAAGAGUGUUUUCAUUAAUCAAGAACGAAAGUUAGAGGAUCGAAGACGAUUAGAU
Molecule: ribosomal RNA, 416 nt
Filed under: uncultured eukaryote
Lineage: Eukaryota
Description: bacterial SSU rRNA
Rfam family: Eukaryotic small subunit ribosomal RNA
Source: RNAcentral